RNAcentral lists this long non-coding RNA (593 nucleotides) under Zonotrichia albicollis (white-throated sparrow). RNAcentral describes it as "lncRNA (ENSZALG00000009696.1)". Lineage: Eukaryota; Metazoa; Chordata; Aves; Passeriformes; Passerellidae. The record is from RNAcentral.
GUUCAACCUAAACAGUGCACGUGGAAUACAGAGAUGCCCUAAAUAUAUAUAGAGAGAAUACGGACAUUCCUUCAAUAUGCACAAAUAAAUAUGAAAGUGUAAAUGCCUAUGCUCUAGAAGGGGUUUAAAACGCAAAAGAAAGACAAAAACCUGUUUAUCGAAAGAAUUUAACAGCUCGAUCCCCCUCUGAACAUCCCCCAGCUGCUCCCAAUCCCUCCCAGAAAUCAGCUGCUCCCACCGCGUUAAUCAGCGCCCUUCGCAGCAACUUUUCAAUCAGGUUUAACUCUCUGCACCUGGGCAGAGCAGAAUUUAUCCUUCCCGGGCGGGCCUUCCACACCUGCCGCGGCUUUUUCUCCUGCUGUACCUGGGUGUGCCCGGGUGUGUCCCCGGCGGGACGAGCGGAGGCGCCGAGCCCGGAGCGAGCGGGCACCGAACACCGGACACGGGCACCGAGGUCUGUUCCUGGGAAGGCUUUUUCCCCUGGGAAGGUUCCAGCAGCACCUUGGUGCCUUCAGGGUUCCUGUUCAGGUGAGGAAAUCUGCUCACCCUCCAUGUAUUCCCUGGGUUCAGCCUUUCUGUGGGACAUUGCUCCC